GACGAACGCUGGCGGCGUGCUUAACACAUGCAAGUCGAACGGAAAGGCCCUGCUUUUGUGGGGUGCUCGAGUGGCGAACGGGUGAGUAACACGUGAGUAACCUGCCCUUGACUUUGGGAUAACUUCAGGAAACUGGGGCUAAUACCGGAUAGGAGCUCCUGCUGCAUGGUGGGGGUUGGAAAGUUUCGGCGGGUGGGGAUGGACUCGCGGCUUAUCAGCUUGUUGGUGGGGUAUUGGCUUACCAAGGCUUUGACAGGUGGCCGGCCUGAGAGGGUGACCGGCCACAUUGCGACUGAGAGAGGGCGCAGACUCCUACGGGAGGCAGCAGGGGGGAAUAUUGCACAAUGGGCGGAAGCCUGAUGCAGCAACGCCGCGUGUGGGAUGACGGCCUUCGGGUUGUAAACCGCUUUCGCCUGUGACGAAGCGUGAGUGACGGUAAUGGGUAAAGAAGCACCGGCUAACUACGUG
RNAcentral lists this ribosomal RNA (468 nucleotides) under uncultured bacterium. RNAcentral describes it as "partial 16S ribosomal RNA". It matches the Rfam family "Bacterial small subunit ribosomal RNA", at positions 28 to 507 of the family's 1533-position model. The record is from RNAcentral.